GUCCCUAUAGCGCAAUGGAUAGCGUACGCGUAUUGGACUUCUAAUCCAAAGGUUGUGGGUUCGAAUCCCACCUGGGAUG
Trichonephila clavipes is the source of this 79-nucleotide non-coding RNA. NCBI's taxonomy places the organism in Eukaryota, Metazoa, Arthropoda, Arachnida, Araneae, Nephilidae. The record is from the annotation of a GenBank genome assembly.